Brachypodium distachyon (stiff brome) is the source of this 674-nucleotide long non-coding RNA. RefSeq lists it as uncharacterized. The record is from RefSeq and is a predicted model, not a curated record. The transcript is spliced from 3 exons. Lineage: Eukaryota; Viridiplantae; Streptophyta; Magnoliopsida; Poales; Poaceae.
GUCGCAAUGUCGCAUGGCCAGCAGCCCAUGAGCAGUCAGCUGCAAAACGAGCACAGCAGGGGGAAAUUAAAAGAGGCUUCGCGUGCGUCCUCUCCGUGCAGGGGGAAAUUAAAAGAGGCUCCGGCGGCCCCUCCGUCCUCGCUCCGACCGACGAGCUCCUCCACCCCGUGCCACCUCCACACCGCGCCGCCACCCCGAUCGACAGGAUUGUGCACUGAGGUUAAGGCAAUUGACUCAAAUGAAUGUGAUGGCCACCAUCUUGUUCAUGGGAUUGCUUGUGGUGACUGCACAAGGUCGUCCGGAGGCCGGAAAAAGAAGCUACCUAGACGGUGACACCAACACCGUGGAUGGUGUCAAGAUUAGCGUAAGAUUUUGCACCAUUGCGACACAUAACGACAACGACUGUUACUGCUGCGUCAACCUCAAGAGCAAGCCGUGUUUCAGGACGAGGGCUCGAUGCCAGGCUCAAUGCCCAUCCCAAGUGUCCGUCGUCUGAAUCGGUGUUGGGACUACAUGCAUAAAGUAUAAUACGGAGUACUACCCAGGUUCUUGAUCGCCUUAAGAGAAAUGAAUACUAGUACUAAUAGAUUCUCAUGGUAGUUUAAUAAACGGCGCCAUGUCGAUGGAUCAACCAAAGUGCUUAUAUAUUUAUGAAGUGGUUUUCUUACUGAAUU